Molecule: ribosomal RNA, 408 nt
Filed under: uncultured bacterium
Lineage: Bacteria
Description: partial 16S ribosomal RNA
Rfam family: Bacterial small subunit ribosomal RNA
Source: RNAcentral
GAUGAACGCUGGCGGCGUGCUUAACACAUGCAAGUCGAACGAAGUGGCGAACGGGUGAUUAACGCGUAAUCAACCUGCCCUUCAGAGGGGUACAACAGUUGGAAACGACUGCCAAUACCGCAUACUGAAGGAGGGUAUUGCGUCUGAUUAGCUAGUUGGAGGGGUAACGGCCCACCAAGGGGAUGAUCAGGAGCCGGUCGGAGGGGAUGAACGGCCAAAUUGGGACUGAGACAAGGCCCAGACUCCUGAGGGAGGCAGCAGUGGGGAAUCUUCCGCAAUGGAGGAAAGUCUGGCGGAGCAACGGCGCGGGAGUGAUGAAGGGCUUCGGGUUGUAAAGCUAUGUUAAUCGGGGCGCGGUACCGGAAGAGAAAGCCACGGCUAACUACGUGCCAGCAGCCGCGGUAAUAC